CUUGUUUCUGAAAGAAACCCAGGGCCAAGACUUGAUGCCUUCUUCUCUUCUGCCCCAGCCCUGUUCCUAAUGAUCUUGCAAUCCCUAAAUGACUCCCUGGGUAACCUUCAGCAGGUCAUGCCUGUUCUGUGGGCCUGUGUCCCCCAUCUGUAAAAUGAAAGAUUUGGACUAGAUGAUCUCUUCCAGCUCUGACAUUCUAGGAUCCUGUGAUUCCGUCUUCACCUCCUGGGUUUUCCCAGCAGGAAGCUGAAGGUUGUGGCCCACUUCUUGGGGCUAGGCUGAGGCCCUGGUCCUUGGGCCAGACUGAGGACCCCUGAGAGGCCCUGCUGAGUGAGGUGGCACCAUGGACUGAGCAACCCACGCACAGGAGCUGGCGAAGGCCACGUGUUGGAAUGACAAAGGAGCCCCAUGGCAUGGCACUGCCUUUGAUGGAGAAGAAUGAGAAGGAUGUUAAGGUAGAGGCAGGAAGGAAAGAUGGGGAGAAAAUGGCGAGGGGGACUGUUGAGGUACAGGGAGAGGAGAUGGCUGAUACAGAAAAUGAGGUACUGAUGGAUGGGGAUGAGUGACAGAUGGAAAUGGCUGAGGUGGAAAACAGGUUAAUGAUGGGUUGAAAGGGAGGAAUGUGUAGAGAGUUGAAAUAUUGGAGGAAAUGUCUGUGGAAAAUGGAUGCCCAAAGGGUUUGAGAUAGGAGAGGAAUGAUAAGGGGUGCAAUUCAUUCAGAUAUGAGAGUGAGGCAGGAGGGGGCUUCCUGCAUGUCAUGGAGGGGAUGAGGAUGAAGUGGAGGAAGCAGGAAGGCAAUGAAGGGGAUGGCCACGUGAAGGGUUUGACUGGGUAUGGGUAUGAGUGCCCUUCUCCGGAGGGACUUACCGAAACUUUACAAACCCAUUCAGCGUCCACGCUCGAAGUUUUAAGGGCUCCAGCUGAAUUUUAAACAUCAAGCUGGCUAAGAAGUCUUCUCCCCAGGAGUGUGGGAAGCUCCGGAAAGCUCCUCGGGCCUGUAGUGGGGGUGCUGCUGGGGGUGGGCAGGAGAGCACUGUGCGCUUAAACAUGCCCAGCCAAGCCCCUCACCUCUGAACGCUCCGCGGAGCCGGCCUGGAGUGCUGCAGCUCUGGAAGCCACCUCCUCGGACUCUCAGAGGCGCGUGCCCAGCAAGGGCUGUCUGGCGCAGCAGGUGCCGGACCUGAUCCCCAGGUGUGGAGAGUGAAGGGAGAGGACCCACGGCCACCUGCUCUCAGGUGCAGCAGUGUCUGGCUGGCUGUGAGCGGCUGUAUGGCAGUGUGACAGUGAGGCUGGCAGUGCAAGCGUGUUUGUGAGUGGCAGUGUGUGUACCUGUGACAGGUGUGAUUGUGAGGGCCCGAGAGGCAGUGAGCUGCUGUCGCCUCUCCCUGGGGAGGACCCGACCCCAAUCCCCAAGAACCUACUCAAUGAAGUCACUGACGGGAGUCUCCUCCCUCGCGGAUGGGCGGGGCAGAGCGAAGCUCGGCCCGGACAAAAGGCGCGGCGCGGAGAGGAGGGGAGGGGGCUCGGGCGGGGGAGGGUGGUCGGUGAUGUCACCCGCGCUGGCUGGCUGGCCUGCUCACAGACGCCUCCGCCCCACAGAACCCAAUCCGGUGCGACCCUCCCCUCCCCUCCCCUCCCCUCCCCUCCCCUCCCCCGGCUCAGAAGCUGGCUGCCCCCUGUGACAGCCAAGCCCGGGUCGCCGACUCCGAACACCCUGCAGACCCCGGGGCCCCGCACCCACAGGGCAGCAGAGCCUACGGGCCCUCUGUGUCCCAACCCCUCCUCCCCCCGCCCCGAUACCAGGAGCCCUGGCUUCGCGACGCCCCACUCCCGGGACCCCCGAGUCCUGGCUCGGCGCCCUCACCGGUGAGGAGCUGCGGGCGCCGCCGUGGUCCGUGAGACAGUCGCUGCCCCCUCCCCCGGCUCCGACUCAGCCGCCUCCACCCGGGACAGGAGUCGCCUGCCCGCCGGCCGCCGACAGCGGGACCGGGAGCCCGCCCCCCCCCCCACGGCUCCGCCUCCGCGCCGCCCAUUGAGCCUUCUGCCCGUCACUCAACUCAGCCUCUGCUGUGAUUGGACAGCUUUCAACGAGCGGCUUGGUGAUAACCGCCCAUCCUCCGCCCCUGUCACCCGGCCACACGCGCACACAUUCCAAGCAGUAAUUGGUGUGGAUCUGAUUGGCGCCCUCUGGGAUCACUCAACCACGCCUCUUUGCCAUCUCGUCGUGCCAUUGGUGAAAAAGACAGAGGGCGGCAACCCCGCUCGCCCUUUGAUUUUAUUGGUUCAUGCUUGAGACUCAGACCCGAGCCCGAGGCAACUAUAUUAGUCCAAUCUCCGAGUUGAGAAGGUGGGACGUACUGGCCACUGCUCGAAUCCCAGGAGAACCUUCUGGAACCCGUGCGACGUCAAAGGCAGCCUUAAAGGAAAACUGCACCCA
Long non-coding RNA from Sapajus apella (tufted capuchin), 2437 nucleotides. RefSeq lists it as uncharacterized. The record is from RefSeq and is a predicted model, not a curated record. The transcript is spliced from 2 exons. NCBI's taxonomy places the organism in Eukaryota, Metazoa, Chordata, Mammalia, Primates, Cebidae.